RNAcentral lists this long non-coding RNA (560 nucleotides) under Nicotiana benthamiana. RNAcentral describes it as "long non-coding RNA (NBEN_LNC014541)". The record is from RNAcentral. Lineage: Eukaryota; Viridiplantae; Streptophyta; Magnoliopsida; Solanales; Solanaceae.
UCCCCACCACAUCUCUUUUCUUUCUUUCUAACCCAAACAGAUCCCAUCAUCCUCUCUUACCCUAGCCUCCAUUCUUCAGCCUCCCCUUACCAUCUACACAAUUCUAGCUCAGGCUCCUCUUCCGCUGUCCAAGUCCGCCAAGUUCGUUGGUGGCAAGCAGAAGAAGAAUUGAAGAUUUUGAAAGAAAAAUGAAAACCCACGCAGAUCUAAAAUCUUUAGCUCUCAAACUUGAUUUUCUUUGAGAAAUAACCACUAAUUUUGAAAGAUUUUGAAGUCUGAAAUUCGGAUCAGCAUUAUUACAACUUUGAAGUCUCGGAUCUAAAAUUGGGUGUAUCUUGUCUGGGUAUUAAAUUCAGAAUCGUUUGCAUAAAGUUGUAUUACAUGCUGCAACAACUCGAAGUUGGAAUAAAAAAUUAUAACCAUACAGUAAUUUGUAUUGACAUUGUAUAAUAAUGUAUAAUUAUGUAUAUGAAAGCAUAAAUACCUCUUAUACAGUAUUAUAGAUGUUUAUACAAGUUGCUAUAUUGUUUUCAGUUAGUGUAGCGUUGGGCACAGUGUUC